UACGGAGGGUGCAAGCGUUAUCCGGAUUCACUGGGUUUAAAGGGUGCGUAGGUGGAGUGGUAAGUCAGUGGUGAAAUCUCCAAGCUUAACUUGGAAACUGCCGUUGAUACUAUCAUUCUUGAAUAUCGUGGAGGUAAGCGGAAUAUGUCAUGUAGCGGUGAAAUGCUUAGAUAUGACAUAGAACACCAAUUGCGAAGGCAGCUCGUUACACGAAGAUUGACUCUGAGGCACGAAAGCGUGGGGAUCAAACAGG
RNAcentral lists this ribosomal RNA (253 nucleotides) under uncultured bacterium. RNAcentral's name for it is "partial 16S ribosomal RNA". It matches the Rfam family "Bacterial small subunit ribosomal RNA", at positions 524 to 776 of the family's 1533-position model. The record is from RNAcentral.